GGCGUAAAGGGCUCGCAGGCGGUUUCUUAAGUCUGAUGUGAAAGCCCCCGGCUCAACCGGGGAGGGUCAUUGGAAACUGGGGAACUUGAGUGCAGAAGAGGAGAGUGGAAUUCCACGUGUAGCGGUGAAAUGCGUAGAGAUGUGGAGGAACACCAGUGGCGAAGGCGACUCUCUGGUCUGUAACUGACGCUGAGGAGCGAAAGCGUGGGGAGCGAACAGGAUUAGAUACCCUGGUAGUCCACGCCGUAAACGAUGAGUGCUAAGUGUUAGGGGGUUUCCGCCCCUUAGUGCUGCAGCUAACGCAUUAAGCACUCCGCCUGGGGAGUACGGUCGCAAGACUGAAACUCAAAGGAAUUGACGGGGGCCCGCACAAGCGGUGGAGCAUGUGGUUUAAUUCGAAGCAACGCGAAGAACCUUACCAGGUCUUGACAUCCUCUGACAAUCCUAGAGAUAGGACGUCCCCUUCGGGGGCAGAGUGACAGGUGGUGCAUGGUUGUCGUCAGCUCGUGUCGUGAGAUGUUGGGUUAAGUCCCGCAACGAGCGCAACCCUUGAUCUUAGUUGCCAGCAUUCAGUUGGGCACUCUAAGGUGACUGCCGGUGACAAACCGGAGGAAGGUGGGGAUGACGUCAAAUCAUCAUGCCCCUUAUGACCUGGGCUACACACGUGCUACAAUGGACAGAACAAAGGGCAGCGAAACCGCGAGGUUAAGCCAAUCCCACAAAUCUGUUCUCAGUUCGGAUCGCAGUCUGCUACUCGACUGCGUGAAGCUGGAAUCGCUAG
Molecule: ribosomal RNA, 781 nt
Filed under: Bacillus subtilis
Lineage: Bacteria; Bacillati; Bacillota; Bacilli; Caryophanales; Bacillaceae
Description: bacterial SSU rRNA
Rfam family: Bacterial small subunit ribosomal RNA
Source: RNAcentral